RNAcentral lists this ribosomal RNA (253 nucleotides) under uncultured bacterium. RNAcentral describes it as "partial 16S ribosomal RNA". It matches the Rfam family "Bacterial small subunit ribosomal RNA", at positions 524 to 776 of the family's 1533-position model. The record is from RNAcentral.
UACGUAGGGUGCAAGCGUUGUCCGGAAUUAUUGGGCGUAAAGAGCUCGUAGGCGGUCUGUCGCGUCUGCUGUGAAAACUCAGGGCUUAACCCUGAGCUUGCAGUGGGUACGGGCAGACUAGAGUGCGGUAGGGGAGACUGGAAUUCCUGGUGUAGCGGUGAAAUGCGCAGAUAUCAGGAGGAACACCGGUGGCGAAGGCGGGUCUCUGGGCCGUAACUGACGCUGAGGAGCGAAAGCAUGGGGAGCGAUCCGG